AUUGAACGCUGGCGGCAUGCCUUACACAUGCAAGUCGAACGGCAGCACGGGGCAACCUGGUGGCGAGUGGCGAACGGGUGAGUAAUGUAUCGGAACGUACCAUUGAGUGGGGGAUAACGUAGCGAAAGUUACGCUAAUACCGCAUAUUCUCUCCGGAGGAAAGCGGGGGACCGCAAGGCCUUGCGCUCUUUGAGCGGCCGAUAUCAGAUUAGCUAGUUGGUGAGGUAAAGGCUCACCAAGGCGACGAUCUGUAGCGGGUCUGAGAGGAUGAUCCGCCACACUGGAACUGAGACACGGUCCAGACUCCUACGGGAGGCAGCAGUGGGGAAUUUUGGACAAUGGGGGCAACCCUGAUCCAGCCAUGCCGCGUGAGUGAAGAAGGCCUUCGGGUUGUAAAGCUCUUUCGGCCGGGAAAAAAUCGCAUGGGCUAAUACCCUGUGUGGAUGAUGGUACCGGAAUAAGAAGCACCGGCUAACUACGUGCCAGCAGCAGCCGCGG
This 498-nucleotide ribosomal RNA is filed under the name uncultured bacterium. RNAcentral's name for it is "partial 16S ribosomal RNA". It matches the Rfam family "Bacterial small subunit ribosomal RNA", at positions 30 to 523 of the family's 1533-position model. The record is from RNAcentral.